UACGUAGGGUGCGAGCGUUAAUCGGAAUUACUGGGCGUAAAGCGUGCGCAGGCGGUUCGUUGUGUCGGCGGUGAAAGCCCCGGGCUCAACCUGGGAAUGGCCGUUGAAACUGGCGAACUGGAGUGUGGCAGAGGGGGGUGGAAUUCCCGGUGUAGCAGUGAAAUGCGUAGAGAUCGGGAGGAACAUCAGUUGCGAAGGCGGCCACCUGGACCAGCACUGACACUGAGGCACGAAAGCGUGGGGAGCAAACAGG
Molecule: ribosomal RNA, 253 nt
Filed under: uncultured bacterium
Lineage: Bacteria
Description: partial 16S ribosomal RNA
Rfam family: Bacterial small subunit ribosomal RNA
Source: RNAcentral